UUCGCAAUGCCCGAAAGGGUGACGAAGCGACGCCGCGUGGGUGAGGAAGGCCCUCGGGUUGUAAAGCCCUGUCAGGAGUUAAGAAAUGUAAGUGCGCUAAUAUCGCAUUUAUUUGACGAAGGCUCCAAAGGAAGCCACGGCUAACUCUGUGCCAGCAGCCGCGGUAAUACAGAGGUGGCAAGCGUUGUUCGGAAUUAUUGGGCGUAAAGAGCACGUAGGUGGGUUUGUAAGUCAGAUGUGAAAGCCUUCUGUUCAACGGAAGAAUUGCAUCUGAAACUACAAGUCUUGAGUGUAGGAGGGGAGAAUGGAACUUCUGGUGGAGCGGUGAAAUGCGUAGAUAUCAGAAGGAACGCCGGCGGCGAAAGCGAUUCUCUGGCCUAUUACUGACACUCAGUGUGCGAAAGCUAGGGGAGCAAACGGGAUUAGAUACCCCGGUAGUCCUAGCCGCAAACGAUGGGCACUAAGUAGAGGGGUUUU
RNAcentral lists this ribosomal RNA (477 nucleotides) under Candidatus Scalindua brodae. RNAcentral's name for it is "bacterial SSU rRNA". It matches the Rfam family "Bacterial small subunit ribosomal RNA", at positions 365 to 832 of the family's 1533-position model. The record is from RNAcentral. Lineage: Bacteria; Pseudomonadati; Planctomycetota; Candidatus Brocadiia; Candidatus Brocadiales; Candidatus Scalinduaceae.